AGUGAACGCUGGCGGUAGGCCUAACACAUGCAAGUCGAACGGCAGCACAGUAAGAGCUUGCUCUUACGGGUGGCGAGUGGCGGACGGGUGAGGAAUACAUCGGAAUCUACUUUUUCGUGGGGGAUAACGUAGGGAAACUUACGCUAAUACCGCAUACGACCUACGGGUGAAAGCAGGGGAUCUUCGGACCUUGCGCGAUUGAAUGAGCCGAUGUCGGAUUAGCUAGUUGGCGGGGUAAAGGCCCACCAAGGCGACGAUCCGUAGCUGGUCUGAGAGGAUGAUCGGCCACCCUGGAAGUGAGCCACGGUCCAGACUCCUACGGGAGGCAGCAGUGGGGAAUAUUGGACAAUGGGCGCAAGCCUGAUCCAACCAUACCGCGUGGGUGAAGAAGGCCUUCGGGUUGUAAAGCCCUUUUGUUGGGAAAGAAAAGCAGCAGGUUAAUACCCCGCUGUUCUGACGGUACCCAAAGAAUAAGCACCGGCUAACUUCGUG
RNAcentral lists this ribosomal RNA (492 nucleotides) under uncultured bacterium. RNAcentral describes it as "partial 16S ribosomal RNA". It matches the Rfam family "Bacterial small subunit ribosomal RNA", at positions 29 to 507 of the family's 1533-position model. The record is from RNAcentral.